AUCCUGGCUCAGAUUGAACGCUGGCGGCAUGCCUUACACAUGCAAGUCGAACGGCAGCACGGGAGCAAUCCUGGUGGCGAGUGGCGAACGGGUGAGUAAUAUAUCGGAACGUGCCCAGUCGUGGGGGAUAACGUAGCGAAAGCUACGCUAAUACCGCAUACGAUCUAUGGGAGAAAGCGGGGGGAUCUUCGGACCUCGCGCCAUUAGAUGAGCCUAGGUCGGAUUAGCUAGUUGGUGAGGUAAUGGCUCACCAAGGCGACGAUCCGUAACUGGUCUGAGAGGAUGAUCAGCCACACUGGGACUGAGACACGGCCCAGACUCCUACGGGAGGCAGCAGUGGGGAAUAUUGGACAAUGGGCGCAAGCCUGAUCCAGCCAUGCCGCGUGAGUGAUGAAGGCCCUAGGGUUGUAAAGCUCUUUCACCGGUGAAGAUAAUGACGGUAACCGCAGAAGAAGCACCGGCUAACUCUGUG
Molecule: ribosomal RNA, 472 nt
Filed under: uncultured bacterium
Lineage: Bacteria
Description: bacterial SSU rRNA
Rfam family: Bacterial small subunit ribosomal RNA
Source: RNAcentral